GUUAUAUCUUUCAUCAAUAUUUGUAGUAUUUCAAGUAGCGGUUGUUUUUUUUAGCUCACCUGGCCUGGAAACUAUAAACAGCAAUAAUCAUGAUAAUGUUCAGCAAAGUAAAUUCAACAAAUAAGCCAACAUGACCAAAACUGUCAAUAGAUCACUUAUCCCUUAAGUACAUUGCAAUGUUAUAAUUUUUUGUUUCCACUCUAUAUAUUGUCUCCCCUCUAUAUUUAUUGUCAAAUUUAAUCAACUAGUCAACUUCAUCGUAUGUUGUGUUUUUUUCUGACGG
This 283-nucleotide long non-coding RNA is filed under the name Mytilus galloprovincialis (Mediterranean mussel). Lineage: Eukaryota; Metazoa; Mollusca; Bivalvia; Mytilida; Mytilidae. The record is from RNAcentral.